ACCACCUGUGUCACAUCCCAUUAGGUUCUGUGGAUGAGGCAUGGUGCUUGGCACAGACUGACACACGUUGGGGCAAACUUGGCAGAGCAGCCUAACCCAAAGCAAAAAACAGAAAUGAACCAAGAUACAACCUCUGUGGAAAACCCUACCGAACAAAAGCAACUCUGUGGAGUGUCCUCUCAGCUGCAAAUUGAGACAGAAUUGUGGGGCAAGCUUGGCCACUGAUGCAGUUCUGUCAUUUCAAGAACAUUGUAUAUAUGGACUUAUAUAUGGACUCACACAGCUCACACUGGCCACACCUGGGACUUCCAACAUGAAUGCUUUUGUCACGGAUGCUGCGCUGCUGCUGUUUCUGGUUCUUACUCUGCUUACACCAAGGAGACUGAUGUCCCUGCCAUAACCCCACUUCCGAUGCAGACAGCAAUUCCAAUGCAUUGCAGCUUUCAGGAUUUUCUCACUGUGAUUUUGCCUCUCCUUUUCUUUAAGACAUGAGCAUUUGUCUAUGGGGAUGGCCUGAAGUGUAGUCUCCAUUACCCAGAGUCAUCUCACUCUCUGACCUUGACUCAUGAUCUGAGAACAAAUGCUCCCCUGCUUGUCUUCCUGAGGGGCAUCUGUCCCUCUUGCAAACAGAUUUCCUUUGGGCUCUAUCAUUUAGAAAUGCCCUUAUUUAUCUGAAUUAUAGUUCCAGUUCAGAACUUUUACAAAGGAACAGAUUGCUCCCAAUUUAAAAGCAGGUAAAUUCUAAAAGUUGGCAAGCCAGUCAUUUAGAAUUUGAGCCUCAUAUUCCAUAGGUAUGAAAUUAUACAUAAUGAAAAAGUUCCCAGGGC
Molecule: long non-coding RNA, 827 nt
Organism: Gorilla gorilla gorilla (western lowland gorilla)
Lineage: Eukaryota; Metazoa; Chordata; Mammalia; Primates; Hominidae
Exons: 3
Source: RefSeq, a predicted model, not a curated record